This 492-nucleotide ribosomal RNA is filed under the name uncultured bacterium. RNAcentral's name for it is "partial 16S ribosomal RNA". It matches the Rfam family "Bacterial small subunit ribosomal RNA", at positions 29 to 507 of the family's 1533-position model. The record is from RNAcentral.
AGUGAACGCUGGCGGUAGGCCUAACACAUGCAAGUCGAACGGCAGCACAGUAAGAGCUUGCUCUUACGGGUGGCGAGUGGCGGACGGGUGAGGAAUACAUCGGAACCUACUUUUUCGUGGGGGAUAACGUAGGGAAACUUACGCUACUACCGCAUACGACCUACGGGUGAAAGCAGGGGAUCUUCGGACCUUGCGCGAUUGAAUGAGCCGAUGUCGGAUUAGCUAGUUGGCGGGGUAAAGGCCCACCAAGGCGACGAUCCGUAGCUGGUCUGAGAGGAUGAUCAGCCACACUGGAACUGAGACACGGUCCAGACUCCUACGGGAGGCAGCAGUGGGGAAUAUUGGACAAUGGGCGCAAGCCUGAUCCAGCAAUACCGCGUGGGUGAAGAAGGCCUUCGGGUUGUAAAGCCCUUUUGUUGGGAAAGAAAAGCAGCAGGUUAAUACCCCGCUGUUCUGACGGUACCCAAAGAAUAAGCACCGGCUAACUUCGUG